This 663-nucleotide ribosomal RNA is filed under the name Pontomyia pacifica. Its description in RNAcentral is "eukaryotic LSU rRNA". It matches the Rfam family "Eukaryotic large subunit ribosomal RNA", at positions 69 to 633 of the family's 3401-position model. Lineage: Eukaryota; Metazoa; Arthropoda; Insecta; Diptera; Chironomidae. The record is from RNAcentral.
UUGGGAUUCCUUUAGUAGCGGCGAGCGAAACGGGAUCAGCCCAUCACGUAGGAUCGUAGGCUUAGUUGUCUACUGAUCGGUUCCGUGUAAAGGAGGGUCCAUCUUUCUUGCACAUAUAACCAUCAUAUUUAAGUCCAGCUUGAAUGCGGCUCAAUAUACCCAGAGAGGGUGCCAGGCCCGUUUAUGUAUGAUGCUUGUGUAAGUGGGCUACAAACUCCUAGGAGUCAUGUUGCUUGAUAGUGCAGCAUAAAGUGGGAGGUAAACUCCUUCUAAGGCUAAAUAUUACCAUGAGACCGAUAGCGAACAAGUACCGUGAGGGAAAGUUGAAAAGCACUCUGAAUAGAGAGUCAAAUAGUACGUGAAACUGUCUAGGGGCUCAAACCUAAAGAACCCAAAUAUCUAAACGGAGAGAUUCAAUACUGAACUUAACACUCAGUGUGCACUUCUCUCUUAGUAAGACGCCGUGAUCCAUUAGAAAUUGGUAGACGCCAGUCUAUAUGAGGUCAUCAAUGGGCUUGCAUGAAGUUUAUUGGAACGAAUGGCAUGAUCUUUCAACGGUCGUGUGUAUUGUCUGGUAAGCGUGCGAGUACUCGUAAUGACUGUCUGAUGGAUUUUAAAGAUUGUAUCAUUGAUGUUACGGCAUCACUUACUUCGGUGAGAUUU